UAAUGUAUAUUAUACAUAAUAAAUAAUGUAUAUUAUACAUAUUAUUCUUUAAGAAGAGCUAGUUGCAGUAAAGGCAUCACUUUCAGCGAGGAUAAGUCUGCUAACACAGCCUAAAAAUAAAAAAAUCCGAGAACGAGCGACCAGAGACGACCACGCAAUGCUCGAGGAGAUCCCCUUUUAAGGAAUUCUUGAGCGAUUGGAGCAUGAUUUGAGCUCAAUACUUUUUCUCCAAUGUACGUUCGCUCGGCUUCUAAAUUUGGGAAGUUUUCUGUAGUCGGCAUAUCGGAAUUUACUCCAAGUAAUGGCAUUCCCUGCGCUAAUCCCGAAUACAUACGUCUCUGUAGAAAAAGGACGAUAGAUAUAUUUGUACAAGUACAUAAAUUAUAAAAUUAAUUAAUUAUAAUAUUCGUACCAAUUGCGCGAGUGUUUUUACACUAAUCUGUAUGUGACUGAAAUCCCAAUUUAGCUCGUCUCUAAAAUAUGUUUUUAUAUCAAGACUUGAUGACAAAUAUAUUUUUGUUUUCUAAUAUAGAUAAUUUAUAUAUAAUUACAUACGGUUGCUUUUUAAAAGAAGGAUCACGUAUCGAGAACAACACAUCCAAAAAAUCCUUUGGCGCAUACAAUGGGCGAUAUUGUGAUAAAUCUGAAAAUAAUAAUUUCUUCUCUCUAUAAAACAGACAUUAACUCAUAUCUGAUAUAUAAAGUAAUUUCACAAAAAGGAUUUAUAUUUGAUUUCAACUUUGAAAUAAAAUUUACCAAUGUCA
Nylanderia fulva is the source of this 764-nucleotide long non-coding RNA. RefSeq lists it as uncharacterized. The record is from RefSeq and is a predicted model, not a curated record. NCBI's taxonomy places the organism in Eukaryota, Metazoa, Arthropoda, Insecta, Hymenoptera, Formicidae.